GGCCCAAUCGCCAAGAGGUAAGGCAGAGGACUUUGACUCCUCCAUCGCUGGUUCGACUCCAGCUUGGGCUGCCA
RNAcentral lists this transfer RNA (74 nucleotides) under Butyricicoccus sp. 1XD8-22. RNAcentral's name for it is "tRNA-Gln". It matches the Rfam family "tRNA". Rfam says of the family: Transfer RNA (tRNA) molecules are approximately 80 nucleotides in length. Their secondary structure includes four short double-helical elements and three loops (D, anti-codon, and T loops). The record is from RNAcentral. Lineage: Bacteria; Bacillati; Bacillota; Clostridia; Eubacteriales; Butyricicoccaceae.